RNAcentral lists this ribosomal RNA (771 nucleotides) under Aspergillus wentii. Its description in RNAcentral is "LSU rRNA". It matches the Rfam family "Eukaryotic large subunit ribosomal RNA", at positions 126 to 912 of the family's 3401-position model. The record is from RNAcentral. Lineage: Eukaryota; Fungi; Ascomycota; Eurotiomycetes; Eurotiales; Aspergillaceae.
CUCCUUCGGGGUCCGAGUUGUAAUUUGCAGAGGAUGCUUCGGUUGCGGCCCCCAUCUAAGUACCCUGGAACGGGUCGUCAUAGAGGGUGAGAAUCCCGUAUGGGAUGGGGUGUCCGCGUCCGUGUGAAGCUCCUUCGACGAGUCGAGUUGUUUGGGAAUGCAGCUCUAAAUGGGUGGUAAAUUUCAUCUAAAGCUAAAUACUGGCCGGAGACCGAUAGCGCACAAGUAGAGUGAUCGAAAGAUGAAAAGCACUUUGAAAAGAGAGUUAAACAGCACGUGAAAUUGUUGAAAGGGAAGCGCUUGCGAUCAGACUCGCCUACGGGGUUCAGCCGGCUUUCGGGCCGGUGUACUUCCCCGUGGGCGGGCCAGCGUCGGUUUGGGCGGCCGGUCAAAGGCCCCUGGAAUGUAGCGCCUCUCGGGGCGCCUUAUAGCCAGGGGUGCAAUGCGGCCUGCCUGGACCGAGGAACGCGCUUCGGCACGGACGCUGGCAUAAUGGUCGUAAGCGACCCGUCUUGAAACACGGACCAAGGAGUCUAACAUCUACGCGAGUGUUCGGGUGUCAAACCCGUGCGCGGAGUGAAAGCGAACGGAGGUGGGAGCCCCCUCGCGGGGCGCACCAUCGACCGAUCCUGAUGUCUUCGGAUGGAUUUGAGUAAGAGCGUAAAUGUGGGGACCCGAAAGAUGGUGAACUAUGCCUGAAUAGGGCGAAGCCAGAGGAAACUCUGGUGGAGGCUCGCAGCGGUUCUGACGUGCAAAUCGAUCGUCGAAUUU